AUAAGAACUUAUUAUGUACGUAGGUUGUUUGGUGUGGUUUUUACAACAAUUUACAAGUGAUAAACUUAUGUACGUAGGAAUUCACAAUAUUCUCUAUCUUUAGAUGCAACAACUGCAUCUGUGUUCACCCCAUGACCUGCAUAAGCCAUUAAAAAUAAUUAAGCUGCAAAACUUAUAUAAUUAAUGGAUAUAGCUCUCAUAUAUAUCAGCAACACUGAGGGAGUGAGGGCAUAAUGUUAUAAUUGAUCAUGCAAAUUCUUGUGAUGUUUUAUCAUUACUUCUAACAAUGAUGUAACUGGUGAGAUAUUUAAAAGACUAAAAAGACUUUAAUACCUAUUUCAUACAAUUGAACUAAAAUUGCAUAUUUAUGAUGAUUUAAGGAUUCAAUUGAUAAAAUUGAUACAUAAGAACAAUCAUCGUUACAAUACUCAAGAGAACAAAAAUGUAAUUAGACAUUUUUUUAUACAAUGUAAACUAUUCGUGAUAUACUCGUGUUGCAAAAUAUUAGUGUAAAUAAAUAUUAUUUUUAAUCGGUAGAUUUUUAUGUUAAGUAUGAUUUUUAGGUUAGUUUAAAAGUUAACUAGUUUAUGCUAGAUGAUAAAUUUUUUAUUGGUUAGUUGUGCAACAAAAUUCUUUAUUUGUUUUUGGUAGAGAAAAGAUAAAAAAAAAGUACGUUGUUAAUACAUAUACUGUUUUUUUAUAGACUAUUAAUAAAUCUUAAUCUCCAUGCAUAAAUUAACAAUCAAUCAGAACUCAUGCAAUAUGACUUUUAUUUUUAUAUUAGUAUAGGAAAUUAAAAAAAGUUAAUAUAUAUAUAGUUAUUUUUAUCACUUGACAAGCUAAAAAAAUCUUUAAAUUGUUAGUAUAUUCGUACAUUAUUUCCUCGUAUUAGUGUAUAGACAUACAUAGGUUUUUAUUGAUUAAACAACUUAAUUCAAAUAUAUGCAUAUCUUAGAGUAUCUAUAUUUUCUAAUAAUUUUAUUCUUAAAUCAACAUCACUAAAAUAGUUUGAAUAUUACUACAUUAUAGUUAAUAGUUUGUUAUAUUUUCCAGUUUGUGGAAAUUAGAUAGAUACUUCUUGGCAACUUGGGACCCACUUUGUAGUGGCGCCUGCCCUUAGUCUUGUGAUGGAGAAAAAAAACCCCACUCACACAACAGUCAGAGAAAGGUUGACUAAGAGGUCAACUGCAAAUUUGGUGAAUUAUGUCAUCACCAACAUUAUUUUUCAUUUUAGUUCUUACACUAUUUUUUUUUCUAUAUUUUGGUCUCUCUGUAUGAAAAACGUUUCCGAAUGAGUUCUUACUGUUUGUCAAAUUAAAUCUGAUCUUAUACUUAACACCUCUUUUGUUCUUACAUCAAAGUUUUGAUGCUUCGAUUUGAUUUUUACGUGAUACAAUUCUACGUAUAUUCCAGUCCUUUGAUUUCAUUUUCAUUCUACACGCAAAAUUUUAUAACUUCAUCAAAUGAUGGAUAUAUGUAGUUGGUCAUACAUAAAUUAAAUUGUUGGAAAUUUUCAAUAGGAUUGUUAUUACAAGAUUGAAUAUAUCUUAUAUAUGACACUUUCUUUUAUCUUUUUGUGUUUAUUAGUUAAUUAACUUUCAAUUUCGAUCUUUCGUUUUGGAUUGGAUUGAGAGCGCACAAGAAUAUCUGAAACAAGUACUUUAAAAUGUUUAAGUCAGAUGAGUCUGAAUUAAGGUAUAUGUAAAAGUCACAAGUUCAUUACCUUACAAAUUAUAAGGAUGUUUACCUCUUUAUAGUCUUGGUUAUGAGACUUCACCUACGGAAGAAGUUAAGGCAGAGACCUAAGUAGGUCCAUAUAUUCCUAAUCAUGCUUUAAAGACAUAAUUGAGUUCUUUAGUCGCUAAUCGCUUCAGUGUACUUUCUUUGGUUAGUUCGAGAAGUCGAAUAAUUCCUCUUAGUUGUUAACUACAGAAUUUAGCUGAGAUACCGUGAGGAUUCGAUUUCCACUUGGUCCAGUAAUACAAAGACAAAACUAUUAAAAUUUAAACUAGUACAUACUUUUUUGUUCCACAUGUUUUAAUAGAAACACACUAUUUGACCUCCAUGUAUAAUGCUCAAGAAUCAAAAAUAUAUUUUGUUUUCUUGAAUGCGAUUCUUGCAUGUGGCUCAACUUAUGAAGAUGUUGAGUAUUAGAUUCUAUUCCAAUAAAUAAUAGGAACGUUCUACACUUAUCCAAAAUAUUUUAGAGACAUGUAUAUCAUAAGUUUUCCAAGUUUGCAAGAUGAUGAGUAGAUGUGAUUUAUUUGAAUAAGUGGAUAACUAGUUCUUCUUGUGAGUUGAAGUCCCAAAUCAAGUAAAAAAUAUAUAAAAAGAAUAAUAUAUAUAUAUAUAUAUAUAAUCACAAUCUUAUUAUUUUAAGAUUUUGGAUUGAAUGUGGUAUCAUGGUCUCUUACAUGAAUUUGUCUCAUGAUUUACUUUUCUCAAACCUUCCUAACGUCUCUUCUAAAAAAAACAAAAAACCUAAUAAAUGCUAUUGGAUAUCAAUGUGGAUUUGAUGAAAAAUGCUUUUGAGAGAGAAUUUGUUAGGAUUAAAGUGUAAUUAGAGUUUCAAACUUGGUAAAAACUAUGCAAGAAGAAAAACACAAAGAAAAAAGAACCACAAACAUAUUUUUCAUUUCCUUUAAGGUUUUGGGUUAUAGAUAAAUUCAUACUAUUCUGUGUUGAAUAAAUCAACUCUCAAAUGACAGAACUUUUCUAUAACUACCAUUUGAGCACCAACAUUGGAAAUGGAGAGAGGCUGACUAAGAGAAAGAAGAACUCUCUAGUUGAGCCCAUUAUAGUCGAAGACGCUAAUCCUGUCCAGACUAAUCAAUUAGAGCAUAUGCUUAUGCCAAUCAUAGCAUCAAGUCCCACUCCUAACCUCACUCUCCAAACUCAUCAAUCACCACCACCUCGUAGCUCACCACAAAGUUCUCUCCAAGGGAGGAAGUUCAUCGCUUUUUUUAUAAAGAGUAAGGAAUGUCCCUUGAAUCAGGCGGAUGAUGAAGAUGAUGAAUAUAUGAGUUUGUUAGCUGUGGGUUUAUUACGAUACAUCAAAAUAGAUGGAAAACCAAGUUUAGGGUGUAGGGGGAACCUUUCCAAGUGAGCAUGACACAGAGAUGCCAAACUAUGUGGUCAAGAGACUAAAACAUGUCGUGAUCUUGUCAUUUUUAUUUGUUGUUGAUUUCCUAGUUUUAAGGAGUCAGUUAAGAAACUUUAGGUGCUUUGUUUUCCUUAUUUGUGUUCAUGGCCUAUUCCUAGGACCAUGUUGUUAUUGAGAAAUUAUUCUUUAAGUUUUAUAAAUUGUAAUGUUUCUGGUUUUUAAAUAAAAUAGAUCUUCAUCUUUGUCCUUUAUUCUUUUGAAAAAUCCUAACAAAUUGUAUCUCUAGCUCUUUUGUUAUGGGGCCUUUAAAAUGGAUUCUGAAAUAUAAAUUGUAACGUUUAUGGUUUUUAAAUAAAUCAAAUCUUCAUCUUUCCACUUUAUUUUCUUGAAAAAAAUUACAACACGGAGGAUAGCUUAGACUCGGCUGAGAUGGUGAUGGUGGUGAAGAAGAGUAUGACAUUAAUUUAUCAUUGGAAGAAAAUUGUUUUCGGUAAUGUUUGCUAAGGUGUUGGGUGCAUCAAGGAUUUGGAGAAGUUCUUGGGUAAAAUAGGAACAAACUUUUUCUUCCAAGGUGAAGGAGCUUGAUGAGUAGAAGGCUACAGACAACAAAGAGACUCUAAUGUGUGUGUGUUUUGAGGUUCUUUAUGAUUGAAGAAAGAUCUAUAUCUUCUUUAUUUGAAUAAGAGGAGAUGAUAUUUUAUUAUAAGCUAGAGUGACGUAAAAGAAAUUUAAUCAAAACCGUUCAGUGGCAACAAAUAUUCUUACUAGAAGUAAAACAUAGUUAAUGAUGAGUCGUAGAGAGAGUAAAGUCUCAUUUCCAAAAAAACAGAGUUCUCCAAUGGUUCUCUAAUCAGAAGCAAGAACUAAUCAGAAGCAAGAUUGAGUAGAUCCAAAAGCUACAAAGAAAAUUAUCAUGUGAGCGCAACUACUAAAUUUUUUGCUUACUAUUCUUGAUUUCAUAGAAUUAAUACUAACUUGUUGGCAACGCGAAAAUUUUACAGGUGAUGAAAGGAGACAUUUUAUCAUGGUUUAUAGAGUUGAAAGAAACUGAUACAGAAUACCUUAGAGACGUUUCUUGCAGGGAAAGAUACAAGCUCUGUUACUCUUUCCUGGUUUCUUUACGAACUUUGCAAGCUUCAAUUGCGCAAGAAAUUAGAGAGGCAAUAGAUGUAGUAGCUGGAUCAAUCAUUGAUGAACACAUCUAGAGUAAGUGAAGAAAACAUAGCAAAAAUGAAGUAUUGUUUUUCAGAUGACACGUGGACGAAUGGAUUUAGUGUGAAACAAAGUGACUUCGUGUCGUUCAAAGUAUAUGGCGUGCGACGGAUGAAAAUGUUGUGGUGGUGAAGAUUCUGAGAAAUUCAGGCCAGAGAGACGCC
RNAcentral lists this long non-coding RNA (4479 nucleotides) under Phaseolus vulgaris (common bean). Its description in RNAcentral is "long non-coding RNA (PVUL_LNC002019)". Lineage: Eukaryota; Viridiplantae; Streptophyta; Magnoliopsida; Fabales; Fabaceae. The record is from RNAcentral.